This 549-nucleotide ribosomal RNA is filed under the name uncultured Glomeraceae. RNAcentral's name for it is "SSU rRNA". It matches the Rfam family "Eukaryotic small subunit ribosomal RNA", at positions 548 to 1098 of the family's 1831-position model. The record is from RNAcentral. Lineage: Eukaryota; Fungi; Glomeromycota; Glomeromycetes; Glomerales; Glomeraceae.
UUGGAGGGCAAGUCUGGUGCCAGCAGCCGCGGUAAUUCCAGCUCCAAUAGCGUAUAUUAAAGUUGUUGCAGUUAAAAAGCUCGUAGUUGAAUUUCGGGAUCAAAUAAUCGGUCGUGCCUCCGGUACGUACUGGUUUUAUUGGUUCCUCCCUUCUGACGAACCAUGAUGUCAUUAAUUUGAUGUGGUGGAGAAUCAGGACUGUUACCUUGAAAAAAUUAGAGUGUUUAAAGCAGGCUAACGCUUGAAUACAUUAGCAUGGAAUAAUGAAAUAGGACGUUCGACCCUAUUUUGUUGGUUUCUAGGAUUGACGUAAUGAUUAAUAGGGAUAGUUGGGGGCAUUAGUAUUCAAUUGUCAGAGGUGAAAUUCUUGGAUUUAUUGAAGACUAACUACUGCGAAAGCAUUUGCCAAGGAUGUUUUCAUUAAUCAAGAACGAAAGUUAGGGGAUCGAAGACGAUCAGAUACCGUCGUAGUCUUAACCAUAAACUAUGCCGACUAGGGAUCGGAUGAUGUUAAUUUUUUAAUGACUCAUUCGGCGCCUUACGGGAAAC